Scylla paramamosain (green mud crab) is the source of this 697-nucleotide long non-coding RNA. RefSeq lists it as uncharacterized. The transcript is spliced from 2 exons. NCBI's taxonomy places the organism in Eukaryota, Metazoa, Arthropoda, Malacostraca, Decapoda, Portunidae. The record is from RefSeq and is a predicted model, not a curated record.
UCUUCAUGGUAGUAAAUGAAAGUUAAAUAUUUCUAGCCUCUCCUAGCAUUAUCAUUGGUCCUUUUGUUUUCAUCAUUCUUUGUAGAUCUUUACAUAGCUGUGAAGCAUAAAACAGUAAGUUGAGGAGAAUAGGUUAGGUUAAAAAUGUCAGUUUUAGAUUGUAUUUGGUUAAGUUGCACUUGUUUUACUAAAGUAGGUUGUGAUGUCAGAUAUUAAUGGAAAAGUAGGCAAUGCAUGUUAGUAACUCAUGCAUCUUUUAUGGAAUUUAAUAUCUGCUACUAAUGGAUAUUACAUAUAUCCAUGUUUUACUGCAGUUGUGAGUAAUUAAUAGAAAUUAAAUUUCAACCAACAGAUCAGCAUAUCAGCCUUACAUGAAAUUCUCAUAGAACAGUGGCAUCACUUAUGAGAAAUUGAGGAAACCCAAGUGCUCCACAUGUGAUUGCUCAUGACUGUUGUGACCCUCUGUGCUGACUGAGGAGGAAUUUGGUCAGUGCUACAGGCUGAGCAAGAAUGCUGUACUUGAUCUGCUUGAUUAGUUACAUCCAAUUGCUCCUAGGAAUACAAGUAGCAAAGUUCAGUGGUACCAUCACACACACACACAUGGCGGACAGAGAAGUCACUGCAAACGGGCACUCCUAAAAAUCUAGCCAUCUACGUUGCUGAGAGCUGCCCUAGUGGAAAUACAGAGUUGAGAGUC